This 1536-nucleotide ribosomal RNA is filed under the name soil metagenome. RNAcentral describes it as "bacterial LSU rRNA". It matches the Rfam family "Bacterial large subunit ribosomal RNA", at positions 436 to 2086 of the family's 2925-position model. The record is from RNAcentral.
GUCUGAACGUGGGGGGACCACCCUCCAAGCCUAAGUACUCCUCAGCGACCGAUAGUGAACCAGUACCGUGAGGGAAAGGUGAAAAGCACCCCGACGAGGGGAGUGAAAUAGACCUGAAACCGGACACCUACAAACAGAUGGAGCCCAAGAUACGUUCUGGGUGACAUCGUACCUUUUGUAUUAUGGGCCAGCGACUUAAUUUAACGAGCAAGCUUAAGCCGAUAGGUGUAUGCGCAGCGAAAGCGAGUCUGAAUAGGGCGCCAAGUUCGUUGUAUUAGACCCGAAACCUAGUGAUCUAGCCAUGAGCAGGUUGAAGGUGAGGUAACACUCACUGGAGGACCGAACGGGUGUCUGUUGAAAAAGACUCCGAUGACUUGUGGUUAGGGGUGAAAGGCCAAUCAAACUGGGAAAUAGCUGGUUCUCCGCGAAAGAUAUUUAGGUAUCGCCUCGCAUGAAUGCUUCGGGGGGUAGAGCACUGGAUGGGCUAGGGGGACUUACCGUCUUACCAAACCCAACCAAACUCCGAAUACCCGAAAGCAAUGUGCGGGAGUCACACGGCGGGUGCUAACGUCCGUCGUGGAGAGGGAAACAACCCGGACCUACAGCUAAGGCCCCUAAUUCGUGGCUAAGUGGGAAAGGAUGUGGAAAUCCCAAAACAACCAGGAGGUUGGCUUAGAAGCAGCCAUCCUUUAAAGAAAGCGUAACAGCUCACUGGUCUAAAUAAGGGUUUCUGCGCCGAAGAUGUACCGGGGCUCAAGCCACGAGCCGAAGCUUUGGGCGCGAAAGCGCGGUAGCGGAGCGUUCCGUAAGCUGAUGAAGGGACAGCCGUGAGGCAUCCUGGAGGUAUCGGAAGUGCGAAUGCUGACAUGAGUAACGACAAACACUGUGAAAGACAGUGUCGCCGAAAGUCCAAGGGUUCCUGCGUAAAGUUAAUCUUCGCAGGGUUAGCCGGUCCCUAAGGCGAGGCAGAAAUGCGUAGUCGAUGGGAAUGCAGUGAAUAUUCUGCAGCCAGUGGAAUGGUGACGAAUCUCGUAUGUUGUCUGACCUUAUUGGAUUGGUCGGGCCUCGAAGAGGUUCCAGGAAAUAGCCUCCACAUUAGACCGUACCCGAAACCGACACAGGUGGACUGGUAGAGUAUACCAAGGCGCUUGAGAGAACUAUGUUGAAGGAACUCGGCAAUUUACCUCCGUAACUUCGGGAUAAGGGGGCCCUCUAUGUACGCAAGUGCAUAGGGGGGGCACAGACCAGGGGGUGGCAACUGUUUAACAAAAACACAGGGCUCUGCGAAAUCGCAAGAUGACGUAUAGGGUCUGACGCCUGCCCGGUGCCGGAAGGUUAAGAGGAGGAGUGCAAGCUCUGAAUUGAAGCCCCGGUAAACGGCGGCCGUAACUAUAACGGUCCUAAGGUAGCGAAAUUCCUUGUCGGGUAAGUUCCGACCUGCACGAAUGGCGUAAUGACUUCCCCGCUGUCUCCAACAUAGACUCAGUGAAAUUGAAUUCCCCGUGAAGAUGCGGGGUUCCUGCGGUCAGACGGAAA